RNAcentral lists this ribosomal RNA (743 nucleotides) under uncultured Gammaproteobacteria bacterium. RNAcentral's name for it is "bacterial SSU rRNA". It matches the Rfam family "Bacterial small subunit ribosomal RNA", at positions 56 to 795 of the family's 1533-position model. Lineage: Bacteria; Pseudomonadati; Pseudomonadota; Gammaproteobacteria. The record is from RNAcentral.
UGCAGUCGUGCGAGAAAGUAUCUUCGGAUAUGAGUAGAGCGGCGGACGGGUGAGUAACGCGUAGGAAUCUACCUAGUAGAAGGGGAUAGCCCGGGGAAACCCGGAUUAAUACCGUAUACCUCCUUCGGGAGAAAGAAGGCCUCUCUUUGAAGCUUUCGCUACUAGAUGAGCCUGCGUAAGAUUAGCUUGUUGGUGAGGUAAAGGCUCACCAAGGCUACGAUCUUUAGCUGGUCUGAGAGGACGAUCAGCCACAUUGGGACUGAGACGCGGCCCAGACUCCUACGGGAGGCAGCAGUGGGGAAUAUUGGACAAUGGGCGCAAGCCUGAUCCAGCCAUACCGCGUGUGUGAAGAAGGCCUUCGGGUUGUAAAGCACUUUAAGCAGGGAGAAAAAGUUAUAAGUUAAUACCUUAUAACCCUGAUGUUACCUGCAGAAUAAGCACCGGCUAAUUCCGUGCCAGCAGCCGCGGUAAUACGGAAGGUGCAAGCGUUAAUCGGAAUUACUGGGCGUAAAGCGCGCGUAGGUGGUUUGUUAAGUUGGAUGUGAAAGCCCUGGGCUCAACCUAGGAACUGCAUCCAAAACUAACUCACUAGAGUACGAUAGAGGGAGGUAGAAUUCAUAGUGUAGCGGUGGAAUGCGUAGAUAUUAUGAAGAAUACCAGUGGCGAAGGCGGCCUCCUGGAUCUGUACUGACACUGAGGUGCGAAAGCGUGGGUAGCGAACAGGAUUAGAUACCCUGGUAGUC